GAUGAACGCUGGCGGCGUGCCUAAUACAUGCAAGUCGAGCGAACGGACGAGAAGCUUGCUUCUCUGAUGUUAGCGGCGGACGGGUGAGUAACACGUGGAUAACCUACCUAUAAGACUGGGAUACUUCGGGAAACCGGAGCUAAUACCGGAUAAUAUUUUUAACCGCAUGGUUCAAAAGUGAAAGACGGUCUUGCUGUCACUUAUAGAUGGAUCCGCGCUGCAUUAGCUAGUUGGUAAGGUAACGGCUUACCAAGGCAACGAUGCAUAGCCGACCUGAGAGGGUGAUCGGCCACACUGGAACUGAGACACGGUCCAGACUCCUACGGGAGGCAGCAGUAGGGAAUCUUCCGCAAUGGGCGAAAGCCUGACGGAGCAACGCCGCGUGAGUGAUGAAGGUCUUCGGAUCGUAAAACUCUGUUAUUAGGGAAGAACAUAUGUGUAAGUAACUGUGCACAUCUUGACGGUACCUAAUCAGAAAGCCACGGCUAACUACGUG
RNAcentral lists this ribosomal RNA (496 nucleotides) under uncultured bacterium. Its description in RNAcentral is "partial 16S ribosomal RNA". It matches the Rfam family "Bacterial small subunit ribosomal RNA", at positions 28 to 507 of the family's 1533-position model. The record is from RNAcentral.